GGCGACCAGAGCAAGUAUGAGCGCAGCAGAGGUCAUUACCGAGAGUUGUAGGCUUUUGUCUACCAUCUCUUACCCAUGUCUUUUGCGUACUACACGUUUCCUCGGCAGGUCCGCCUGCCGUUAGGACCACAUUAAACCAUUUGCAGUUGCAGUCAGCGUCUGAAAAACAUAAUAAUUACAACUUUCAACAACGGAUCUCUUGGUUCUGGCAUCGAUGAAGAACGCAGCGAAAUGCGAUAAGUAGUGUGAAUUGCAGAAUUCAGUGAAUCAUCGAAUCUUUGAACGCACAUUGCGCCCCUUGGUAUUCCAUGGGGCAUGCCUGUUCGAGCGUCAUUUGUACCUUCAAGCUAUGCUUGGUGUUGGGUGUUUGUCCCGCCUUUGUGCGCGGACUCGCCUUAAAGCAAUUGGCAGCCGGCGUAUAGGUUUCGGAGCGCAGCACAAUCCGCGCUUUGUGUCCAUUACGACGACGUCCAUUAAGCCUUUUUUACACUCUUGACCUCGGAUCAGGUAGGGAUACCCGCUGAACUUAAGCAUAUCAAUAAAGCCGGAGGAA
This 553-nucleotide ribosomal RNA is filed under the name Pleosporales sp. B35. RNAcentral describes it as "eukaryotic LSU rRNA". The stretch from base 180 to 333 matches the Rfam family "5.8S ribosomal RNA". Lineage: Eukaryota; Fungi; Ascomycota; Dothideomycetes; Pleosporales. The record is from RNAcentral.